CCCUUAGAUGUUCUGGGCUGCACGCGUGCUACACUGAUAUUGCCAAUAUGUCAUUCUUAUCCGAAAUGGAUUGGGUAAUCAAGUAAUGAAAUUUCAUGCUUGGAAUCGGUAAUUGCAAUUUUAUCGUGAACGAGGAAUUCCUAGUAAGCACUAGUCAUCAGCUAAUGUUGAUUAUGUCCCUGCCCUUUGUACACACCGCCCGUCGCACCUACCGAUUGGAUGGUCCGGUGAAGCCUCGGGAUUGUGGUUCUUGCCGCUUUAUUGUGGCGUGACCGCGAGAACUUGUCUAAACCUUAUCAUCUAGAGGAAGGUGAAGUCGUAACA
Molecule: ribosomal RNA, 324 nt
Filed under: uncultured eukaryote
Lineage: Eukaryota
Description: partial 18S ribosomal RNA
Rfam family: Eukaryotic small subunit ribosomal RNA
Source: RNAcentral